RNAcentral lists this transfer RNA (92 nucleotides) under Ruminococcus sp. RNAcentral describes it as "tRNA-Ser". It matches the Rfam family "tRNA". From Rfam's summary of the family: Transfer RNA (tRNA) molecules are approximately 80 nucleotides in length. Their secondary structure includes four short double-helical elements and three loops (D, anti-codon, and T loops). Further hydrogen bonds mediate the characteristic L-shaped molecular structure. tRNAs have two regions of fundamental functional importance: the anti-codon, which is responsible for specific mRNA codon recognition, and the 3' end, to which the tRNAs corresponding amino acid is attached (by aminoacyl-tRNA synthetases). tRNAs cope with the degeneracy of the genetic code in two manners: having more than one tRNA (with a specific anti-codon) for a particular amino acid; and 'wobble' base-pairing, i.e. permitting non-standard base-pairing at the 3rd anti-codon position. Lineage: Bacteria; Bacillati; Bacillota; Clostridia; Eubacteriales; Oscillospiraceae. The record is from RNAcentral.
GGUCAUAUAAGCCUAAAUGGUAAGGCAGCGGUUUGCUAAACCGUGAGUAACCGGAUUAUUCCGGUGUCUGAGUUCAAGUCUCAGUGUGACCG